This 626-nucleotide unclassified non-coding RNA is filed under the name Rhizopus arrhizus. RNAcentral's name for it is "sequence contains 18S rRNA gene, ITS1, 5.8S rRNA gene, ITS2, 28S rRNA gene". The stretch from base 235 to 388 matches the Rfam family "5.8S ribosomal RNA". The record is from RNAcentral. Lineage: Eukaryota; Fungi; Mucoromycota; Mucoromycetes; Mucorales; Rhizopodaceae.
GUAACAAGGUUUCCGUAGGUGAACCUGCGGAAGGAUCAUUAAUUAUGUUAAAGCGCCUUACCUUAGGGUUUCCUCUGGGGUAAGUGAUUGCUUCUACACUGUGAAAAUUUGGCUGAGAGACUCAGACUGGUCAUGGGUAGACCUAUCUGGGGUUUGAUCGAUGCCACUCCUGGUUUCAGGAGCACCCUUCAUAAUAAACCUAGAAAUUCAGUAUUAUAAAGUUUAAUAAAAAACAACUUUUAACAAUGGAUCUCUUGGUUCUCGCAUCGAUGAAGAACGUAGCAAAGUGCGAUAACUAGUGUGAAUUGCAUAUUCAGUGAAUCAUCGAGUCUUUGAACGCAGCUUGCACUCUAUGGUUUUUCUAUAGAGUACGCCUGCUUCAGUAUCAUCACAAACCCACACAUAACAUUUGUUUAUGUGGUAAUGGGUCGCAUCGCUGUUUUAUUACAGUGAGCACCUAAAAUGUGUGUGAUUUUCUGUCUGGCUUGCUAGGCAGGAAUAUUACGCUGGUCUCAGGAUCUUUUUCUUUGGUUCGCCCAGGAAGUAAAGUACAAGAGUAUAAUCCAGCAACUUUCAAACUAUGAUCUGAAGUCAGGUGGGAUUACCCGCUGAACCUAAGCAUAUCA